UUUGACUUGGGCCUCGGCUGUGUGUCUUUAAUCUUACCAAAGUCUUUAAUCAGAAGAAAAUCUGCCUUAUCCUUAAAGCCCAGGGUCUGAGCCUGUGCCGUGCAAACAGAAGCCUCUGGAGCCUGCGGCAGGAGAUUGCAGAGAGAGAAGCAAACAGGCGGCCGUAGCCACACAGCCUCCAUCCGCACACAGCCUCCAUCUGCACGCAGCCUCCAUCCUCAGCCUCCAACCAGGGCUGCAGUCAGCGGCAUUUAAGGCUCCAGGUGCAGAGGAAGAGAAGUGAUGCCCAAGACACAAAGGGGGGAGAAAUGCAACCAUGACAGCUGCGGAGGAAUAAGCAGGCUUUGCAGUUAAAAGGGAAAUUUGGAAAGGCCCAGAAGUGUCAUCCCCAUUCACCCAGAGGGAAGUUGGAGGGUUCAUGUGAGCCUGGGUCUCUUUAGGGAUUGUGUUGAAGCUUUGUGCUUUUCCUUUCAUAUUUUUUGAAGCUUGCUACAGUUUGCUCUUCCAUGGGCUCAUGGCCUGAGAGAUCACAAAAAGAAUGGGGGGAAAAAAGUGCAGCCAUUCUGCUCCCCUUAGCACACCUGCAAUACAACCAUCACCAUUUCCAUUUCCUCCUCUCCCCCACACCUGAAUGCUCUUGACAGUUUUACCAGUGAUAAAAAAGCUCAGAGGAAAUGGUGAGACCUGGAAAUAAUCCUGCAUUCAACCUAAAACAUAGGAGAGGGGACGGCAUUGAGGGAUUUCCGCAGCCCACCCUCCUGUGGCACAGGCUCCAGAAGCCAGGGCCCGUGGUGGGCGUUGCAGACGAUGUUCCUGGUCACGGAGCACGAUGAGACUCCGGGUUGCCACGAAAGAGGUCGCAGCCCAGCUGAAGAGGUGGCUGGUGGAGCGGACAGACCUGGGCCACCACCAGGAUGUCUUUCUGAGCAUCAUAAAGAGAGAUUUAUUUGGCGUCACACCUGAAGCUGGGGCGUGCCCAUCAUCAGGAGUUCAAGCCGAAGUGGGCGACAGCCAGAGCUUCAUCUGGGGCAAGUGAGAUCCUGGGUGUCCCUUGGGUCUAGCUAAAAAGCCAGUGCAGGACACUACCCACGUUUCAUCCCAAACCAGGGGUUUUCUGUGAAAUGCAGGUGGAUGGGGCGAGCAUCACAGCACCCAGAGUCAGGUGCAACGGACCAGAGCAGAAAGCAUGUGCACCGGUGGGACAAGGGGAAGAGCAGGUCCAAUAUUACAGAAACAUUAGUGCAGAACAAGGUAACAAUCAGUAAAUGUUAAAAAAUAUAUUUAAAAAUAAAUUAAUUUAA
Molecule: long non-coding RNA, 1301 nt
Filed under: Anser brachyrhynchus (Pink-footed goose)
Lineage: Eukaryota; Metazoa; Chordata; Aves; Anseriformes; Anatidae
Description: lncRNA (ENSABRG00000021608.1)
Source: RNAcentral